Molecule: non-coding RNA, 92 nt
Organism: Mycena metata
Lineage: Eukaryota; Fungi; Basidiomycota; Agaricomycetes; Agaricales; Mycenaceae
Source: the annotation of a GenBank genome assembly
GGUCAGAUAGCACAGCUGUUAGUGCGCGGAUACUUGAUGGGUUCAAGGGCAAUAUUUAAUCUGAUACCCUCGUUCGACUCGGGGUCUGGCCU